Molecule: non-coding RNA, 45 nt
Organism: Schistosoma mansoni
Lineage: Eukaryota; Metazoa; Platyhelminthes; Trematoda; Strigeidida; Schistosomatidae
Source: Rfam
AUCCAACUGACGAGUCCCAAAUAGGACAAAACGCGCGUCGUGGAU